Molecule: long non-coding RNA, 306 nt
Filed under: Physcomitrium patens
Lineage: Eukaryota; Viridiplantae; Streptophyta; Bryopsida; Funariales; Funariaceae
Description: long non-coding RNA (PPAT_LNC001518)
Source: RNAcentral
UAAGACUUGUGAGAAGUCUUAUAUGUGAAGUUGAGAGUGAUACAAGAGUGAAAUCACUUGUUUACUUACAAAGAGGGCAUUCUGGGUUUCUAAGGCAGCAACACCUUCUUGUUGAUUUUGAGAGUUCUAUAUCUUCUUUUUUUGAUUUUCUUUCAUAAAUCCCUUCCUUAGACAUGGCUUCAAGUGAGGGUGAGAGCUUGAGAGUAAUUGAGAAGUUUAGGGGUGACAACUUUUACCAUUGGAAGAAAAAAAUGGAGCUUUUGUUGGCUUCAUUGGACCUUUGGGACAUUGUUGAUGAAAGUGAAG